UGUCACUUGGUAGACAUCCUUCUGGUGCAGUUACCCCUGAUCAACUGUGGUCCAGAAGUAGAUGAUCCUCCUUCUGACACAUCAUCAUAAGGUCGGUGGUAUCCUAACACUUACGUCUAUGUCAUUACCUCACUUCAUCUCAUCAUGCAGGCCUUUCUUCAUCUCACAUCAUUACAAGAAGAAGAAAGGUGACCUGUCCAGGCAUAUGCUUCAAGCAGCCUUGUUUUACUGAAAACUGACCAGAGUUCAUCUCCAGAUGUGGCAUCAUAAUGUGACCGAGUGCUAGAAGGUGGCCUUGAUUGUGCCCAGCUCAAGGUAGUUGGAAAAUAAAGUAGUGAAUUGGAAAGCA
Molecule: long non-coding RNA, 349 nt
Organism: Suricata suricatta (meerkat)
Lineage: Eukaryota; Metazoa; Chordata; Mammalia; Carnivora; Herpestidae
Exons: 3
Source: RefSeq, a predicted model, not a curated record